AUUGAACGCUGGCGGCAGGCCUAACACAUGCCAGUCGAGCGGAUGAAGGGAGCUUGCUCCUGGAUUCAGCGGCGGACGGGUGAGUAAUGCCUAGGAAUCUGCCUGGUAGUGGGGGAUAACGUCUGGAAACGGGCGCUAAUACCGCAUACGUCCUGAGGGAGAAAGAGGGGGAUCUUCGGACCUCACGCUAUCAGAUGAGCCUAGGUCGGAUUAGCUAGUUGGUGGGGUAAAGGCCUACCAAGGCGACGAUCCGUAACUGGUCGGAGAGGAUGAUCAGUCACACUGGAACUGGGACAGGGUCCAGACUCCUCAGGGGGGCAGCAGUGGGGAAUAUUGGACAAUGGGCGAAAGCCUGAUCCAGCCAUGCCGCGUGUGUGAAGAGGGUCUUCGGAUUGUAAAGCACUUUAAGUUGGGAGGAAGGGCAGUAAGUUAAUACCUUGCUGUUUUGACGUUACCAACAGAAUAAGCACCGGCUAACUUCGUG
This 484-nucleotide ribosomal RNA is filed under the name uncultured bacterium. RNAcentral describes it as "partial 16S ribosomal RNA". It matches the Rfam family "Bacterial small subunit ribosomal RNA", at positions 30 to 507 of the family's 1533-position model. The record is from RNAcentral.